CCUACGGGAGGCAGCAGUAGGGAAUAUUGCUCAAUGGGGGAAACCCUGAAGCAGCAACGUCGCGUGGAGGAUGAAGGUUUUCGGAUUGUAAACUCCUUUUGUUAGAGAAGAUAAUGACGGUAUCUAACGAAUAAGCACCGGCUAACUCCGUGCCAGCAGCCGCGGUAAUACGGAGGGUGCAAGCGUUCCUCGGAAUCACUGGGCGUAAAGCGCGCGUAGGCGGGAUAGCAAGUCAGAUGUGAAAUCCUAUGGCUUAACCAUAGAACUGCAUUUGAAACUGUUAUUCUAGAGUAUGGGAGAGGUAGGUGGAAUUCUUGGUGUAGGGGUAAAAUCCGUAGAGAUCAAGAGGAAUACGCAUUGCGAAGGCGACCUGCUAGAACAUAACUGACGCUGAUGCGCGAAAGCGUGGGGAGCAAACAGGAUUAGAUACCCUUGUAGUC
RNAcentral lists this ribosomal RNA (440 nucleotides) under uncultured bacterium. RNAcentral describes it as "partial 16S ribosomal RNA". It matches the Rfam family "Bacterial small subunit ribosomal RNA", at positions 338 to 795 of the family's 1533-position model. The record is from RNAcentral.